GCCCUGGUAAGUGCUAGGUCGCGGGUUCAAUUCCCGCCCGGGGCG
Molecule: transfer RNA, 45 nt
Filed under: Diaphorina citri (Asian citrus psyllid)
Lineage: Eukaryota; Metazoa; Arthropoda; Insecta; Hemiptera; Psyllidae
Source: Rfam by way of RNAcentral